GGUUCGUCACAUCCUGGGGCUGGAGAAGGUCCCAAGGGUUCGGCUGUUCGCCGAUUAAAGUGGCACGUGAACUGGGUUCAGAACGUCGCAAGACAGUUCGGUCUCUAUCUGUGGUGGGCGUUACAGAAUUGAGAAGACAUGCUCUUAGUACGAGAGGACCGGAGCGUACGUACCGCUGGUGUAUCUGUUGUGCCGCCAGGUGCAAUGCAGAGUAGCUAUGUACGGCAAGGAUAAGCGCUGAAAGCAUCUAAGCGCGAAACCUUCUUCAAGAUGAGUUCUGUUUUAAGGGUCGUAGUAGACGACUACGUUGAUAGGCUACAGGUGUAAAGUUGGUAACAGCAAAGCCAAGUAGUACUAAUUGCCCGUAAGCUUUUACUUU
This 379-nucleotide ribosomal RNA is filed under the name Chitinophagaceae bacterium. RNAcentral's name for it is "partial 23S ribosomal RNA". It matches the Rfam family "Bacterial large subunit ribosomal RNA", at positions 2534 to 2925 of the family's 2925-position model. Lineage: Bacteria; Pseudomonadati; Bacteroidota; Chitinophagia; Chitinophagales; Chitinophagaceae. The record is from RNAcentral.